This 447-nucleotide ribosomal RNA is filed under the name uncultured bacterium. RNAcentral describes it as "partial 16S ribosomal RNA". It matches the Rfam family "Bacterial small subunit ribosomal RNA", at positions 29 to 523 of the family's 1533-position model. The record is from RNAcentral.
AACGAACGCUGGCGGCAGGCCUAACACAUGCAAGUCGAACGCCCCGCAAGGGGAGUGGCAGACGGGUGAGUAACGCGUGGGAACCUUCCCAGUGGUACGGAAUAACUGACCGAAAGGUUGGCUAAUACCGUAUACGCCCGAAAGGGGAAAGAUUUAUCGCCAUUGGAUGGGCCCGCGUCGGGUUAGCUGGUUGGUGAGGUAAUGGCUCACCAAGGCGACGAUCCGUAGCUGGUCUGAGAGGAUGAUCAGCCACACGGGGACUGAGACACGGCCCAGACUCCUCCGGGAGGCAGCAGUGGGGAAUAUUGGACAAUGGGCGCAAGCCUGAUCCAGCCAUGCCGCGUGAGUGAUGAAGGUCUUCGGAUUGUAAAACUCUUUCGCCGGGGAAGAUAAUGACGGUACCCGGAGAAGAAGCUCCGGCUAACUCCGUGCCAGCCGCCGCCGUAA